Zingiber officinale is the source of this 155-nucleotide long non-coding RNA. RefSeq lists it as uncharacterized. The record is from RefSeq and is a predicted model, not a curated record. The transcript has 3 exons. NCBI's taxonomy places the organism in Eukaryota, Viridiplantae, Streptophyta, Magnoliopsida, Zingiberales, Zingiberaceae.
AGGAGGAGUUUGGUGGUUGAACUGUUUCACGAAUCAUUUUGGAAUUGGAAUGACGAAGUUCACAGCUGCAGCAAGAGAAUCCAUUGAUGCAGUUUCUGCAAUUCAUAAACGCUCAAAAAGGAUUUGAAGAAAAAGGAGAGGGAAAAUCAAGGAAU